Molecule: transfer RNA, 72 nt
Filed under: Phrynosoma platyrhinos (Desert horned lizard)
Lineage: Eukaryota; Metazoa; Chordata; Lepidosauria; Squamata; Phrynosomatidae
Description: tRNA-OTHER
Source: RNAcentral
GCCAGGGUGGCAUAGUGGUUUGAGUAUUGGCCUACAACUCUGGAGACAAGGGUUCAAUUCCCCGCUUGGCCA